RNAcentral lists this ribosomal RNA (793 nucleotides) under uncultured bacterium. RNAcentral's name for it is "bacterial SSU rRNA". It matches the Rfam family "Bacterial small subunit ribosomal RNA", at positions 8 to 796 of the family's 1533-position model. The record is from RNAcentral.
AGAGUUUGAUCAUGGCUCAGGAUGAACGCUAGCGGCAGGCUUAAUACAUGCAAGUCGAGCGGUAACAGGUGUAGCAAUACAUGCUGACGAGCGGCAGACGGGUGAGGAACACGUACGCAACUUUCCUCAAACCGGGGCACAACCUUGAGAAAUCAGGGCUAAUUCCCCAUAACAUUGCGAGAGGGCAUCUGAUUGCAAUUAAAGAUUCGUCGGUUUGAGAUGGGCGUGCGUUCGAUUAGCUAGUUGGUAAGGUAACGGCUUACCAAGGCAACGAUCGAUAGCUGGUGUGAGAGCACGACCAGCCACACGGGCACUGAGAUACGGGCCCGACUCCUACGGGAGGCAGCAGUAAGGAAUAUUGGUCAAUGGACGAAAGUCUGAACCAGCCAUGCCGCGUGAAGGAUGAAGGCCCUCUGGGUUGUAAACUUCUUUUAUCUAUGAAGAAAUGUCCUGUUUCUACGGGAUUUGACGGUAAUAGAUGAAUAAGCACCGGCUAACUCCGUGCCAGCAGCCGCGGUAAUACGGAGGGUGCAAGCGUUAUCCGGAUUUACUGGGUUUAAAGGGUGCGUAGGUGGGUUGGUAAGUCAGUGGUGAAAUACUUUCGCUUAACGAAGGAACUGCCAUUGAUACUACCAGUCUUGAAUACAGUGGAGGUAGGCGGAAUGCGUCAUGUAGCGGUGAAAUGCUUAGAUAUGACGCAGAACACCAAUUGCGAAGGCAGCUUGCUACACUGUUAUUGACACUGAGGCACGAAAGCGUGGGGAUCAAACAGGAUUAGAUACCCUAGUAGUCC